Molecule: regulatory RNA element, 52 nt
Rfam family: serC leader
About the family: This family is a putative regulatory RNA structure that is found upstream of the serC-serA operon in some alpha-proteobacteria. The final stem of the structure overlaps the ribosome binding site of the serC reading frame.
Source: Rfam
CCGUGGGACACCUCUCCCCAACGAGAGGCGCGUAUCUGAAAGGGUAGCAGUA